GACGUAGGGGGCGAGCGUUGUCCGGAUUCAUUGGGCGUAAAGAGCGCGUAGGCGGCCCGGAAAGUGGGGUGUGAAAACCCGAGGCUCAACCUCGGGCGUGCACUCCAAACUCCCGGGCUCGAGGCAGGUAGGGGAGAUCGGAAUUCCUGGUGUAGCGGUGAAAUGCGCAGAUAUCGGGAAGAACACCCGUGGCGAAGGCGGCUCUCUGGGACGGUACUGACGCUGAGACGCGAAAGCGUGGGGAGCGAACAGG
This 253-nucleotide ribosomal RNA is filed under the name uncultured bacterium. Its description in RNAcentral is "partial 16S ribosomal RNA". It matches the Rfam family "Bacterial small subunit ribosomal RNA", at positions 524 to 776 of the family's 1533-position model. The record is from RNAcentral.